CAAAAACAUUGCCUCAUGACCUAUCAAUAUGAGGUACCUCCUGCCCAGUGACCCUUAAACGGCCGCGGUAUCCUGACCGUGCAAAGGUAGCAUAAUAAUUUGCCUCCUAACUAGAGGCUAGAAUGAAUGGACAAACGAAAGCUUUAUUGUCUCUCAUAUAUUUUAAGAAAAUUAACCUUCAGGUGAAGAGGCCUGGAUUAAUCUAAAGGACAAAAAGACCCUAUCGAGCUUUACUUACAAUUUAUUCUAAUAUAUAAUAUAUCUAAUUCAUAAUAAGUUUAGUUGGGGCGACUAAGGACUACUCAAUUCUCUAAUAUUACCUUACUAAACGUCCUUCCAAUAAAGACCUUAAAGUCAAAGAAAUGAUCCAUCAACCCAAUGAACAUAUAACCAAGCUACCGUAGGGAUAACAGACUAAUCCUCCUAAAGAGCCCAAAUCGCCAGGAGGGAUUGGCACCUCGAUGUUGGCUUAGG
RNAcentral lists this ribosomal RNA (474 nucleotides) under Oenonidae sp. A ZW-2021. RNAcentral's name for it is "partial large subunit ribosomal RNA". It matches the Rfam family "Bacterial large subunit ribosomal RNA", at positions 1808 to 2541 of the family's 2925-position model. Lineage: Eukaryota; Metazoa; Annelida; Polychaeta; Eunicida; Oenonidae. The record is from RNAcentral.